UUUCGGUACGAGAUGAGCCCGCGGCCUAUCAGCUUGUUGGUGGGGUAAUGGCCUACCAAGGCGUCGACGGGUAGCCGGCCUGAGAGGGUGGACGGCCACAUUGGGACUGAGAUACGGCCCAGACUCCUACGGGAGGCAGCAGUGGGGAAUAUUGCACAAUGGGCGCAAGCCUGAUGCAGCGACGCCGCGUGAGGGAUGACGGCCUUCGGGUUGUAAACCUCUUUCGACAGGGACGAAGCUUUUGUGACGGUACCUGUAUAAGAAGCACCGGCUAACUACGUGCCAGCAGCCGCGGUAAUACGUAGGGUGCGAGCGUUGUCCGGAAUUACUGGGCGUAAAGAGCUCGUAGGUGGUUUGUCGCGUCGUCUGUGAAAUUCCGGGGCUUAACUCCGGGCGUGCAGGCGAUACGGGCAUAACUUGAGUGCUGUAGGGGAGACUGGAUUCCUGGUGUAGCGGUGGAAUGCGCAGAUAUCAGGAGGAACACCGAUGCGAAGGCAGGUCUCUGGGCAGUAACUGACGCUGAGGAGCGAAAGCAUGG
This 538-nucleotide ribosomal RNA is filed under the name Corynebacterium sp. COB2. RNAcentral describes it as "bacterial SSU rRNA". It matches the Rfam family "Bacterial small subunit ribosomal RNA", at positions 213 to 764 of the family's 1533-position model. Lineage: Bacteria; Bacillati; Actinomycetota; Actinomycetes; Mycobacteriales; Corynebacteriaceae. The record is from RNAcentral.